GGCUACCGCUAUUGGAGUUCGAUUAAGCCAUGCGAGUCGAGAGUCCUCGGGACUCGGCGUACCGCUCAGUAACACGUGGGUAACCUGCCCUAUGCUGGGGAAUAACCUCGGGAAACUGAGAAUAAUGCCCCAUAGCCCACUACGCCUGGAACGGUGAGUGGGUCAAAGCCCCGGCGGCAUAGGAUGGGCCUGCGCCGUAUCAGGUUGUAGGGGGUGUAAAGUACCCUCUAGCCAUCAACGCGUACGGGUGUUGGGAGACAUUGCCCGGAGAUGGAUUCUGAGACACGAAUCCAGACCCUACGGGGUGCAGCAGGCGCGAAAACUUGGCAAUGCGAGCAAUCGUGACCAGGGAACUCCAAGUGCGUAGGGUAAGACCUACGCUUUUCUUGACUCUUCAAAGGUCUUGGAAUAAGGGGUGGGUAAGGACGGUGCCAGCCGCCGCGGUAAUACCGGCGCCUCAAGUGGUAGUCGCUUUUAUUGGGCCUAAAACGUCCGUAGCCGGUCUGGUGCAUUCGUGGGUAAAUCAACCCGCUCAACGGGUUGAAUUCUGCGAGCACGGCCAGACUUGGGACCGGGAGAGGUGUGGGGUACUCCCAGGGUAGGGGUAAAAUCCUGUCAUCCUGAGAGGACCACCUGUUGCGAAGGCGCCACACUAGAACGGAUCCGACGGUCAGGGACGAAACCUAGGGGCACGAACCGGAUUGGAUACCCGGGUAGUCCUAGGUGUAAACGCUGUGGACUUGAUGUUGGGGGCGCUCCGAGCGCUCUCAGUGUCGAAGCGAAGGUGAUAAGUCCACUGCCUGGGGAGUACGGUCGCAAGGCUGAAACUUAAAGGAAUUGGCGGGGGAGCACUGCAACCUGAGGAUUGUGCGGUUU
RNAcentral lists this ribosomal RNA (876 nucleotides) under uncultured archaeon. RNAcentral describes it as "bacterial SSU rRNA". It matches the Rfam family "Archaeal small subunit ribosomal RNA", at positions 22 to 903 of the family's 1478-position model. The record is from RNAcentral.